This 440-nucleotide ribosomal RNA is filed under the name uncultured bacterium. Its description in RNAcentral is "partial 16S ribosomal RNA". It matches the Rfam family "Bacterial small subunit ribosomal RNA", at positions 338 to 795 of the family's 1533-position model. The record is from RNAcentral.
CCUACGGGAGGCAGCAGUGGGGAAUAUUGCACAAUGGGGGAAACCCUGAUGUAGCGACGCCGCGGGAGUGAAGAAGUAUUUCGGUAUGUAAAGCUCUAUCAGCAGGGAAGAAAAUGACGGUACCUGAUUAAGAAGCCCCGGCUAACUACGUGCCAGCAGCCGCGGUAAUACGUAGGGGGCAAGCGUUAUCCGGAUUUACUGGGUGGAAAGGGAGCGUAGACGGCAGCACAAGUCUGGAGUGAAAUGCCGGGGCUUAACCCCGGAACUGCUUUGGAAACUGUGCAGCUAGAGUGCAGGAGAGAUGAGUGGAAUUCCUAGUGUAGCGGUGAAAUGCGUAGAUAUUAGGAGGAACACCAGUGGCGAAGGCGGCUUACUGGACUGUAACUGACGUUGAGGCUCGAAAGCGUGGGGAGCAAACAGGAUUAGAUACCCGAGUAGUC